UACGGGGGGGGCAAGCGUUGUUCGGAAUUACUGGGCGUAAAGCGUGCGUAGACGGUUAUUUAAGUCGGGUGUGAAAGCCCCGGGCUCAACCUGGGAAUUGCAUUCGAGACUGAAUAGCUAGGGUACGGUAGAGGGAAGCGGAAUUUCCGGUGUAGCGGUGAAAUGCGUAGAUAUCGGAAGGAACAUCAGUGGCGAAAGCGGCUUCCUGGACCAGAACUGACGAUCAGGCACGAAAGCGUGGGGAGCAAACAGG
RNAcentral lists this ribosomal RNA (253 nucleotides) under uncultured bacterium. Its description in RNAcentral is "partial 16S ribosomal RNA". It matches the Rfam family "Bacterial small subunit ribosomal RNA", at positions 524 to 776 of the family's 1533-position model. The record is from RNAcentral.